AUUGAACGCUGGCGGCAGGCCUAACACAUGCAAGUCGAGCGGGGUUUUCGGACCUAGCGGCGGACGGGUGAGUAAUGCGUAGGAAGCUACCCGAUAGAGGGGGAUACCAGUUGGAAACGACUGUUAAUACCGCAUAAUGUCUACGGACCAAAGUGUGGGACCUUCGGGCCACAUGCUAUCGGAUGCGCCUACGUGGGAUUAGCUAGUUGGUGAGGUAAUGGCUCACCAAGGCGACGAUCCGUAACUGGUCUGAGAGGAUGAUCAGUCACACUGGAACUGAGACACGGUCCAGACUCCUACGGGAGGCAGCAGUGGGGAAUAUUGGACAAUGGGCGAAAGCCUGAUCCAGCCAUGCCGCGUGUGUGAAGAAGGUCUUCGGAUUGUAAAGCACUUUAAGUUGGGAGGAAGGGUACCACUAGAAUAAGCACCGGCUAACUCCGUGCCAG
Molecule: ribosomal RNA, 446 nt
Filed under: uncultured bacterium
Lineage: Bacteria
Description: bacterial SSU rRNA
Rfam family: Bacterial small subunit ribosomal RNA
Source: RNAcentral